UACGUAGGUGGCAAGCGUUAUCCGGAAUUAUUGGGUGUAAAGGGUGCGUAGGCGGGAUAUAAAGUCAGACGUGAAAUACCGUGGCUUAACCACGGGGCUGCAUUUGAAACUUAUGUUCUUGAGUUAAGUAGAGGCAAGUGGAAUUCCCAGUGUAGCGGUGAAAUGCGUAGAUAUUGGGAGGAACACCAGUGGCGAAGGCGAUUUGCUGGGCUUAUACUGACGCUGAGGCACGAAAGUGUGGGGAGCAAACAGG
This 253-nucleotide ribosomal RNA is filed under the name uncultured bacterium. RNAcentral's name for it is "partial 16S ribosomal RNA". It matches the Rfam family "Bacterial small subunit ribosomal RNA", at positions 524 to 776 of the family's 1533-position model. The record is from RNAcentral.